RNAcentral lists this unclassified non-coding RNA (19 nucleotides) under Mus musculus (house mouse). Its description in RNAcentral is "oocyte_clustered_small_RNA7281". Lineage: Eukaryota; Metazoa; Chordata; Mammalia; Rodentia; Muridae. The record is from RNAcentral.
UAGGUCAGCGCCCUGUCAG